CCUACGGGAGGCAGCAGUGAGGAAUAUUGGUCAAUGGACGAGAGUCUGAACCAGCCAAGUAGCGUGAAGGAUGACUGCCCUCUGGGUUGUAAACUUCUUUUAUAUGGGAAUAAAAUGUUCCACGUGUGGGAUUUUGUAUGUACCAUAUCAAUCAGGAUCGGCUACCUCCGUGCCAGCAGCCGCGGUAAUACGGAGGAUCCGAGCGUUAUCCGGUUUUAUUGGGUUUAAAGGGAGCGUGGGUGGAUUGUUAAGACAGUUGUGAAAGGUUGCGGCUCAACCUUAAAAUUGCAGUUGAAACUGGCAGUCUUGAGGACAGUAGAGGUGAGCGGAAUUCGUGGUGUAGCGGUGAAAUGCUUAGAUAUCACGAAGAACUCCGAUUGCGAAGGCAGGUCACUGGACUGCAACUGACGCUCAUGCACGAAAGCGUGGGUAUCGAACAGGAUUAGAUACCCCUGUAGUC
RNAcentral lists this ribosomal RNA (460 nucleotides) under uncultured bacterium. RNAcentral describes it as "partial 16S ribosomal RNA". It matches the Rfam family "Bacterial small subunit ribosomal RNA", at positions 338 to 795 of the family's 1533-position model. The record is from RNAcentral.